AUUGAACGCUGGCGGCAGGCCUAACACAUGCAAGUCGAACGAGUGGCGGACGGGUGAGUAAGGUCUGGGAAACUGCCUGCAGGAGGGGGAUAACUACUGGAAAAGGUAGCUAAUACCGCAUACCAUCAGAUGUGCCCAGAUGGGAGUAGCUAGUUGGUGGGGUAACGGUUCAACAAGGCGACGAUCCCUAGCUGGUCUGAGCGGAUGACCGGACACGCUGGAACUGAGACACGGUCCAGACUCCUACGGGAGGCAGCAGGGGGGAAUAUUGCACAAUGGGCGCAAGCCUGAUGCAGCCAUGCGGCGUGUAUGAAGAAGGCCUUCGGGUUGUAAAGUACUUUCAUCGGGGAGGCGUUACCCGCAGAAGAAGCACCGGCUAACUCCGUGCCAGCAGCCGCGGUAAUAC
RNAcentral lists this ribosomal RNA (406 nucleotides) under uncultured bacterium. RNAcentral's name for it is "partial 16S ribosomal RNA". It matches the Rfam family "Bacterial small subunit ribosomal RNA", at positions 30 to 526 of the family's 1533-position model. The record is from RNAcentral.